This 495-nucleotide ribosomal RNA is filed under the name uncultured bacterium. RNAcentral's name for it is "partial 16S ribosomal RNA". It matches the Rfam family "Bacterial small subunit ribosomal RNA", at positions 28 to 507 of the family's 1533-position model. The record is from RNAcentral.
GAUGAACGCUGGCGGCGUGCCUAAUACAUGCAAGUAGAACGCUGAAGGAGGAUCUUGCUCUUCUGGAUGAGUUGCGAACGGGUGAGUAACGCGUAGGUAACCUGCCUGGUAGCGGGGGAUAACUAUUGGAAACGAUAGCUAAUACCGCAUGACAACAGUUAUUGCAUGAUAACUGUUUAAAAGGGGCAACUGCUCCACUACCAGAUGGACCUGCGUUGUAUUAGCUAGUUGGUGAGGUAACGGCUCACCAAGGCGACGAUACAUAGCCGACCUGAGAGGGUGAUCGGCAACACUGGGACUGAGACACGGCCCAGACUCCUACGGGAGGCAGCAGUAGGGAAUCUUCGGCAAUGGACGGAAGUCUGACCGAGCAACGCCGCGUGAGUGAAGAAGGUUUUCGGAUCGUAAAGCUCUGUUGUAAGAGAAGAACGAGUGUGAGAGUGGAAAGUUCACACUGUGACGGUAUCUUACCAGAAAGGGACGGCUAACUACGUG